Molecule: non-coding RNA, 30 nt
Filed under: Rattus norvegicus (Norway rat)
Lineage: Eukaryota; Metazoa; Chordata; Mammalia; Rodentia; Muridae
Source: RNAcentral
UAACCUGUCAUUCCAGCCUGGGUUGCCUGC